AUGAACGCUGGCGGCGUGCCUAAUACAUGCAAGUCGAGCGAACAGACGAGGAGCUUGCUCCUCUGACGUUAGCGGCGGACGGGUGAGUAACACGUGGAUAACCUACCUAUAAGACUGGGAUAACUUCGGGAAACCGGAGCUAAUACCGGAUAAUAUAUUGAACCGCAUGGUUCAAUAGUGAAAGACGGUUUUGCUGUCACUUAUAGAUGGAUCCGCGCCGCAUUAGCUAGUUGGUAAGGUAACGGCUUACCAAGGCAACGAUGCGUAGCCGACCUGAGAGGGUGAUCGGCCACACUGGAACUGAGACACGGUCCAGACUCCUACGGGAGGCAGCAGUAGGGAAUCUUCCGCAAUGGGCGAAAGCCUGACGGAGCAACGCCGCGUGAGUGAUGAAGGUCUUCGGAUCGUAAAACUCUGUUAUUGGGGAAGAACAAAUGUGUAAGUAACUAUGCACGUCUUGACGGUACCUAAUCAGAAAGCCACGGCUAACUACGUG
Molecule: ribosomal RNA, 496 nt
Filed under: uncultured bacterium
Lineage: Bacteria
Description: partial 16S ribosomal RNA
Rfam family: Bacterial small subunit ribosomal RNA
Source: RNAcentral